GUCUCUUUGGAAAUAAGUAUAUAAAGAGUCGAACCUGCCCGGUGACUAUAUUGUUAAACGGCCGCGGUACCCUAACCGUGCAAAGGUAGCAUAAUCAUUUGCCUUUUAAUUGGAGGCUGGUAUGAAUGGUUUGACGAGAGCUAUGCUGUCUCUUUUAAAAUAUUUAAAAAUUAACUUUUAGGUGAAGAGGCCUAAAUUUAUUUAAGGGACAAGAAGACCCUGUUGAGCUUUAGUGAUGUUGUAAACGAUGAAGAAUAAGUUAUUAUUGAUUUGUUGUGUAUUUAUUAUAAUAAAAGUUUGCAGAUAAUCUUUAGUUGGGGCGACUGAGGAACAUAAAAAGCUUCCUUGUAUAUAAAUUAUUUAAGUAAUUGAAUAAAUUAAUGCUUAUGUGUUAUUUUGAUCCAAAUUAUUUUGAUUAAGAGAAAAAGUUACCACAGGGAUAACAGCGUAAUCUUUCUGGAGAGAUCUUAUCGAAAGAAGGGUUUGCGACCUCGAUGUUGGACUAAGAUAUCCUAAGGGUGUAGAAGUUCUUAAAGGUUGGUCUGUUCGACCAUUAAAAUCUU
Molecule: ribosomal RNA, 563 nt
Filed under: Gibbula fanulum
Lineage: Eukaryota; Metazoa; Mollusca; Gastropoda; Trochida; Trochidae
Also listed under: 1 other name
Description: partial 16S ribosomal RNA
Rfam family: Bacterial large subunit ribosomal RNA
Source: RNAcentral